GCUUAUAGCUCAGCCGGUUAGAGCGCACGCCUGAUAAGCGUGAGGUCGGUGGUUCGAGUCCUCUUACGCC
Molecule: transfer RNA, 70 nt
Filed under: [Clostridium] scindens
Lineage: Bacteria; Bacillati; Bacillota; Clostridia; Lachnospirales; Lachnospiraceae
Rfam family: tRNA
About the family: Transfer RNA (tRNA) molecules are approximately 80 nucleotides in length. Their secondary structure includes four short double-helical elements and three loops (D, anti-codon, and T loops).
Source: RNAcentral